This 2310-nucleotide small RNA is filed under the name Pan troglodytes (chimpanzee). RNAcentral's name for it is "retained intron". Lineage: Eukaryota; Metazoa; Chordata; Mammalia; Primates; Hominidae. The record is from RNAcentral.
CACCCACCCACCUCCAACCAGCAGGAUGCGGCUGUGGAAGGCGGUGGUGGUGACUUUGGCCUUCAUGAGUGUGGACAUCUGCGUGACCACGGCCAUCUAUGUCUUCAGCCACCUAGACCGCAGCCUCCUGGAGGACAUCCGCCACUUCAACAUCUUUGACUCGGUGCUGGAUCUCUGGGCAGCCUGCCUGUACCGCAGCUGCCUGCUGCUGGGAGCCACCAUUGGUGUGGCCAAGAACAGUGCGCUGGGGCCCCGGCGGCUGCGGGCCUCGUGGCUGGUCAUCACCCUCGUGUGCCUCUUCGUGGGCAUCUAUGCCAUGGUGAAGCUGCUGCUCUUCUCAGAGGUGCGCAGGCCCAUCCGGGACCCCUGGUUCUGGGCCCUGUUCGUGUGGACGUACAUAUCACUCGGCGCAUCCUUCCUGCUCUGGUGGCUGCUGUCCACCGUGCGGCCAGGCACCCAGGCCCUGGAGCCAGGGGCAGCCACCGAGGCUGAGGGCUUCCCUGGGAGCGGCCGGCCACCGCCCGAGCAGGCGUCUGGGGCCACGCUGCAGAAGCUGCUCUCCUACACCAAGCCCGACGUGGCCUUCCUCGUGGCCGCCUCCUUCUUCCUCAUCGUGGCAGCUCUGGGAGAGACCUUCCUGCCCUACUACACGGGCCGCGCCAUUGAUGGCAUCGUCAUCCAGAAAAGCAUGGAUCAGUUCAGCACGGCUGUCGUCAUCGUGUGCCUGCUGGCCAUUGGCAGCUCAUUUGCCGCAGGUAUUCGGGGCGGCAUUUUUACCCUCAUAUUUGCCAGACUGAACAUUCGCCUUCGAAACUGUCUCUUCCGCUCACUGGUGUCCCAGGAGACAAGCUUCUUUGAUGAGAAUCGCACAGGGGACCUCAUCUCCCGCCUGACCUCGGACACCACCAUGGUCAGCGACCUGGUCUCCCAGAACAUCAAUGUCUUCCUGCGGAACACAGUCAAGGUCACGGGCGUGGUGGUCUUCAUGUUCAGCCUCUCAUGGCAGCUCUCCUUGGUCACCUUCAUGGGCUUCCCCAUCAUCAUGAUGGUGUCCAACAUCUACGGCAAGUACUACAAGAGGCUCUCCAAAGAGGUCCAGAAUGCCCUGGCCAGAGCGAGCAACACGGCGGAGGAGACCAUCAGUGCCAUGAAGACUGUCCGGAGCUUCGCCAAUGAGGAGGAGGAGGCAGAGGUGUACCUGCGGAAGCUGCAGCAGGUGUACAAGCUGAACAGGAAGGAGGCAGCUGCCUACAUGUACUACGUCUGGGGCAGCGGGCUCACACUGCUGGUGGUCCAGGUCAGCAUCCUCUACUACGGGGGCCACCUUGUCAUCUCGGGCCAGAUGACCAGCGGCAACCUCAUCGCCUUCAUCAUCUACGAGUUUGUCCUGGGAGAUUGUAUGGAGUCCGUGGGCUCCGUCUACAGUGGCCUGAUGCAGGGAGUGGGGGCUGCUGAGAAGGUGUUCGAGUUCAUCGACCGGCAGCCGACCAUGGUGCACGAUGGCAGCUUGGCCCCCGACCACCUGGAGGGCCGGGUGGACUUUGAGAAUGUGACCUUCACCUACCGCACUCGGCCCCACACCCAGGUCCUGCAGAAUGUCUCCUUCAGCCUGUCCCCCGGCAAGGUGACGGCCCUGGUGGGGCCCUCGGGCAGUGGGAAGAGCUCCUGCGUCAACAUCCUGGAGAACUUCUACCCCCUGGAGGGGGGCCGGGUGCUGCUGGACGGCAAGCCCAUCAGCGCCUACGACCACAAGUACUUGCACCGUGUGGUAUGUGCACGGGCCUGGGCCACACUCCUCCGCCCUUUCUGCAUCUAACCGUGUUUCUUGUGAGCUGUAACAGGUGUGGAAGAGGGCACUAGAGAUAAAUGGACAGUUCAAAGAAUUAUCACCAAUUACAAUGCCCUCCUAGAGAAACAGAACAUUCUUGUCCAGACGUGGUGGCUCACACCUGUAAUCCCAGCACUUUGGGAGGCCAAGGAGGGUGGACUGCUUGAGCUCAGGAGUUCAAGACCAGCAUGGCCAACAUGGCGAAACCCCAUCUCUACUAAAAAUACAAAAAUUAGCCGGGUGUGGUGGCACAUGCCUGUAAUCUCAGCUCCUCAGGAGGCUGAGGCACGAGAAUCACUUGAACCCGGGAGGUAGAGGUUGCAGUGAGCCGAGAUUGGGCCACUGCACUGCAGCCUGGGCAACAGAAUAAGACUCUGUCUCAUGAAAAAAAAGAAAUAGAACAUUCUGGCACUCCAGAAGCCUCCUACCCCCCGCCAUGUGUCCCUUCUCUUUCCCCAAGAAGUAAUGUGUUGACUUCUAGA